UCGGGAAUUUUGCUCAAUGGGGGAAACCCUGAAGCAGCAACGCCGCGUGAGGGAUGAAGGCCUUCGGGUUGUAAACCUCUUUUCUCAGGGACGAUAAUGACGGUACCUGAGGAAUAAGCCACGGCUAACUACGUGCCAGCAGCCGCGGUAAUACGUAGGUGGCAAGCGUUGUCCGGAUUUACUGGGCGUAAAGAGCGCGCAGGCGGUUGUUUAAGUCGAAUGUGAAAGCCCCCGGCUCAACUGGGGAGGGUCAUUCGAUACUGAUCGACUUGAAGGCAGGAGAGGGAAGUGGAAUUCCGGGUGUAGUGGUGAAAUGCGUAGAUAUCCGGAGGAACACCAGUGGCGAAGGCGACUUCCUGGCCUGUUCUUGACGCUGAGGCGCGAAAGCUGGGGGAGCAAACGGGAUUAGAUACCCCGGUAGUCCCAGCCGUAAACGAUGGACACUAGGUGUUGGUGGUAUCAACCCCGCAGUGCCGUAGCUAACGCAUUAAG
This 492-nucleotide ribosomal RNA is filed under the name uncultured bacterium. RNAcentral's name for it is "bacterial SSU rRNA". It matches the Rfam family "Bacterial small subunit ribosomal RNA", at positions 355 to 864 of the family's 1533-position model. The record is from RNAcentral.